UUGUGAAUCGUACAUCUCCUUACUAGACUUUCAUGGUUGUACUUAAUUGAAUGACCAUUUCAUCUUGAUUCGUUGGGGUGAGUGAUGAGUAGACCUAUUGGAUUCGAGAUUGUGGAUGAAUUUCUUCGGAGAUUGGUUCUGCUUGGAUUCAGUAACUAUUUAUUAGAAAUCUAGUUCAUUUACUUUGAGUAAAUUAGAGUGUUCAAGGCAAGCAAAUUUGUUUCUGCAAUGAAUACUAUUAGCAUGGGAUAAUGGAACAGGACAUGUAUUCUAGUUUUCCGUUGGUUUCUAGAAUUUUUAGUCACUCUUUUUGGAGUGGCGAAGUGUAAUGAUUAAAAGGGACAGUUGGGGGCAUUCGUAUUUCAUUGUCAGAGGUGAAAUUCUUGGAUUUAUGAAAGACGAACUUCUGCGAAAGCAUUUGUCAAAGAUGUUUUCAUUAAUCAAGAACGAAAGUUAGGGGAUCGAAGACGAUCAGAUACCGUCGUAGUCUUAACCAUAAACUAUGCCGACCAGGGAUUGGAAGAUGUAUUAUCCUAUUUAAACGUAGGAAAACUCCUUCAGCACCUUACGAGAAAUCAUAAGUCUUUGGGUUCUGGGGGGAGUAUGGUCGCAAGGCUGAAACUUAAAGGAAUUGACGGAAGGGCACCACCAGGAGUGGAGCCUGCGGCUUAAUUUGACCCAACACGGGAAAACUCACCAGGUCCAGACACAGUUAGGAUUGACAGAUUGAGAGCUCUUUCUUGAUUCUGUGGGUGGUGGUGCAUGGCCGUUCUUAGUUGGUGGAGUGAUUUGUCUGGUUAAUUCCGAUAACGAACGAGACCUCAGCCUACUAAUUAGUGAUGCAAAUGAUUACAUCCGUAAGGAGAGGGUUUCUAUUAAAGCUUUGGGUUUGACUUGAAGAUUUAAUAGAAAAACUUGUUUUCAUUUGUUAGAGUUUUGAUCUCUUCGGAGUGAAGAAUUCGAUAAUGACUUCUUAGAGGGACACUUGGUGUUUAACCAAGGGAAGUUUGAGGCAAUAACAGGUCUGUGAUGCCCUUUAGAUGUUCUGGGCUGCACGCGCGCUACACUGAUACGAUCAACGAGUACUGAAGACCUGAUCCGAAAGGAUUGGGUAAACUUUUGAAAUCGUAUCGUGCUGGGGAUCGAUAAUUGUAAUUAUUUAUCGUGAACGAGGAAUUCCUAGUAAGCGCAAGUCAACAGCUUGCGCUGAUUACGUCCCUGCCCUUUGUACACACCGCCCGUCGCUGCUACCGAUGUUUGGUCCGGUGAAAUUUUAGGAUUCGCGACU
RNAcentral lists this ribosomal RNA (1288 nucleotides) under metagenome. Its description in RNAcentral is "bacterial SSU rRNA". It matches the Rfam family "Eukaryotic small subunit ribosomal RNA", at positions 636 to 1723 of the family's 1831-position model. The record is from RNAcentral.